UGGGGAAUAUUGCACAAUGGGGGGAACCCUGAUGCAGCCAUGCCGCGUGAAUGAAGAAGGCCUUCGGGUUGUAAAGUUCUUUCGGUGACGAGGAAGGUUGAUAGGUUAAUAGCCUAUCAAAUUGACGUUAAUCACAGAAGAAGCACCGGCUAACUCCGUGCCAGCAGCCGCGGUAAUACGGGGGGUGCGAGCGUUAAUCGGAAUAACUGGGCGUAAAGGGCACGCAGGCGGUGACUUAAGUGAGAUGUGAAAGCCCCGAGCUUAACUUGGGAAUUGCAUUUCAUACUGGGUCGCUAGAGUACUUUAGGGAGGGGUAGAAUUCCACGUGUAGCGGUGAAAUGCGUAGAGAUGUGGAGGAAUACCGAAGGCGAAGGCAGCCCCUUGGGAAUGUACUGACGCUCAUGUGCGAAAGCGUGGGGAGCAAACAGG
This 429-nucleotide ribosomal RNA is filed under the name uncultured Gammaproteobacteria bacterium. RNAcentral describes it as "bacterial SSU rRNA". It matches the Rfam family "Bacterial small subunit ribosomal RNA", at positions 355 to 776 of the family's 1533-position model. The record is from RNAcentral. Lineage: Bacteria; Pseudomonadati; Pseudomonadota; Gammaproteobacteria. RNAcentral also lists the same sequence under 1 other name.